UACGUAGGAGGCGAGCGUUGUCCGGAGUACUGGGCGUAAAGCGUACGCAGGCGUCCAAUCAGUCUAUAGGGACAGGGCACAGCUUAACUGUGUCAGGCUUAUGGAAACUGUUGGACUUGAGGGCUUCAGAGGGAUGGGGAAUUCCGGGUGGAGUGGUGAAAUGCGUAGAGAUCCGGAAGAACACCAAAGGCGUAGGCACCAUCCUGGGGAGUCACUGACGCUCAUGUACGAAAGCUAGGGGAGCG
This 245-nucleotide ribosomal RNA is filed under the name uncultured Ktedonobacter sp. Its description in RNAcentral is "partial 16S ribosomal RNA". It matches the Rfam family "Bacterial small subunit ribosomal RNA", at positions 524 to 770 of the family's 1533-position model. The record is from RNAcentral. Lineage: Bacteria; Bacillati; Chloroflexota; Ktedonobacteria; Ktedonobacterales; Ktedonobacteraceae.